CCGCACAAGCGGUGGAUGAUGUGGUUUAAUUCGAUGCAACGCGAAAAACCUUACCCACCUUUGACAUGUACGGAAUUUGCCAGAGAUGGCUUAGUGCUCGAAAGAGAGCCGUAACACAGGUGCUGCAUGGCUGUCGUCAGCUCGUGUCGUGAGAUGUUGGGUUAAGUCCCGCAACGAGCGCAACCCUUGUCAUUAGUUGCUACGAAAGGGCACUCUAAUGAGACUGCCGGUGACAAACCGGAGGAAGGUGGGGAUGACGUCAAGUCCUCAUGGCCCUUAUAGGUGGGGCUACACACGUCAUACAAUGGCCGGUACAAAGGGUCGCAAACCCGCGAGGGGGAGCUAAUCCAUCAAAGCCGGUCGUAGUCCGGAUCGCAGUCUGCAACUCGACUGCGUGAAGUCGGAAUCGCUAGUAAUCGUGGAUCAGCAUGUCACGGUGAAUACGUUCCCGGGUCUUGUACACACCGCCCGUCACACCAUGGGAGCGGGUCUCGCCAGAAGUAGUUAGCCUAACCGCAAGGAGGGCGAUUACCACGGCGGGGUUCGUGACUGGGGUGAAGUCGUAACAAGGUAGCCGUA
This 579-nucleotide ribosomal RNA is filed under the name uncultured bacterium. Its description in RNAcentral is "bacterial SSU rRNA". It matches the Rfam family "Bacterial small subunit ribosomal RNA", at positions 921 to 1504 of the family's 1533-position model. The record is from RNAcentral.